AACGAACGCUGGCGGCAGGCUUAACACAUGCAAGUCGAACGAGAUCUUCGGAUCUAGUGGCAGACGGGGGAGGAACACGUGGGAACAUCGCUUUCAGUUCGGAAUAACGUCGGGCAACUAACGCUAAUACCGGAGACGUUCUGCGUGAGAAAGUUUUAUCGCUGAAAGAUUGGCCCGCGUCUGAUUAGCUAGUUGGUGAGGUAACGGCUCACCAAGGCUAUGAGCAGUAGCUGUUCUGGGAGGAUGAGCAGCCCCAUUGGGACUGAGACACGGCGCAAACUCCUACUGGAGGCAGCAGUGAGGAAUAUAGGACAAAGGGCGCAAGCCUGAACCAGCCAUGCCGCGUGAGUGAUGACGGCCUUCGGGUUGUAAAGCUCUUUUGUCCGGGAAGAUAAUGACUGUACCGGAAGAAUAAGCCCCGGCAAACUUCGUGCCAGCAGCCGCCGUAA
This 449-nucleotide ribosomal RNA is filed under the name uncultured bacterium. Its description in RNAcentral is "partial 16S ribosomal RNA". It matches the Rfam family "Bacterial small subunit ribosomal RNA", at positions 29 to 523 of the family's 1533-position model. The record is from RNAcentral.